ACGUAGGGUGCAAGCGUUGUCCGGAAUUAUUGGGCGUAAAGAGCUCGUAGGCGGUCUGUCGCGUCGGCUGUGGAAUCCCGAGGCUCAACCUCGGGUCUGCAGUCGAUACGGGCAAACUGGAGUACUGCAGGGGAGACUGGAAUUCCUGGUGUAGCGGUGAAAUGCGCAGAUAUCAGGAGGAACACCGGUGGCGAAGGCGGGUCUCUGGGCAGUAACUGACGCUGAGGAGCGAAAGCGUGGGGAGCGAACAGGAUUAGAUACCCUGGUAGUCCACGCCGUAAACGUUGGGCGCUAGGUGUGGGGCUCAUUCCACGAGUUCCGUGCCGCAGCUAACGCAUUAAGCGCCCCGCCUGGGGAGUACGGCCGCAAGGCUA
Molecule: ribosomal RNA, 374 nt
Filed under: uncultured bacterium
Lineage: Bacteria
Description: bacterial SSU rRNA
Rfam family: Bacterial small subunit ribosomal RNA
Source: RNAcentral